GGCCCGAUGGCGCAGUGGCAAGCGCGUCCACUUCGAUAGCGUCAGGAAGCCUUGCUCCUGUUCGACUCAGGAUCGGGCCG
Non-coding RNA from Athelia sp. TMB, 80 nucleotides. The record is from the annotation of a GenBank genome assembly. Lineage: Eukaryota; Fungi; Basidiomycota; Agaricomycetes; Atheliales; Atheliaceae.